GACAGAGGGUGCAAGCGUUGUUCGGAAUUACUGGGCGUAAAGCGCGUGUAGGUGGCGAUGUAAGUCGGGUGUGAAAUCCCUCGGCUCAACCGAGGAAGUGCACUCGAUACUGUGUCGCUUGAGUGUUGGAGGGGAUGGCGGAAUUCCCGGUGUAGAGGUGAAAUUCGUAGAUAUCGGGAGGAACACCUGUGGCGAAGGCGGCCAUCUGGACAACUACUGACACUGAGACGCGAAAGCGUGGGUAGCAAACAGG
RNAcentral lists this ribosomal RNA (253 nucleotides) under uncultured bacterium. RNAcentral's name for it is "partial 16S ribosomal RNA". It matches the Rfam family "Bacterial small subunit ribosomal RNA", at positions 524 to 776 of the family's 1533-position model. The record is from RNAcentral.